RNAcentral lists this ribosomal RNA (251 nucleotides) under uncultured bacterium. RNAcentral describes it as "partial 16S ribosomal RNA". It matches the Rfam family "Bacterial small subunit ribosomal RNA", at positions 525 to 775 of the family's 1533-position model. The record is from RNAcentral.
ACGGAGGAUGCGAGCGUUAUCCGGAUUUAUUGGGUUUAAAGGGUGCGUAGGCGGCACGCCAAGUCAGCGGUGAAAUUUUCGGGCUCAACCCGGAAUCUGCCGUUGAAACUGGCGAGCUAGAGUGCACAAGAGGCAGGCGGAAUGCGUGGUGUAGCGGUGAAAUGCAUAGAUAUCACGCAGAACCCCGAUUGCGAAGGCAGCCUGCUAGGGUGCGACAGACGCUGAGGCACGAAAGCGUGGGUAUCGAACAG